UGUUGGUCUUCAUGGUCUGGAGAAGUUUUAAAUGUUCCCAAACUCUCAAUCACACAAAGAAAUAGAUUAGUCAAAUUCUAUGAUACCGAUAGACUGUAU
Etheostoma spectabile (orangethroat darter) is the source of this 99-nucleotide long non-coding RNA. RefSeq lists it as uncharacterized. Lineage: Eukaryota; Metazoa; Chordata; Actinopteri; Perciformes; Percidae. The transcript is spliced from 3 exons. The record is from RefSeq and is a predicted model, not a curated record.